Molecule: ribosomal RNA, 238 nt
Filed under: uncultured bacterium
Lineage: Bacteria
Description: partial 16S ribosomal RNA
Rfam family: Bacterial small subunit ribosomal RNA
Source: RNAcentral
CGGCGGACGGGUGAGUAACGCGUGGGUAACCUGCCUCAUACAGGGGGAUAACAGUUGGAAACGGCUGCUAAUACCGCAUAAGCGCACAGUACCGCAUGGUACGGUGUGAAAAACUCCGGUGGUAUGAGACGGACCCGCGUCUGAUUAGGUAGUUGGUGGGGUAACGGCCUACCAAGCCGAUGAUCAGUAGCCGACCUGAGAGGGUGACCGGCCACAUUGGGACUGAGACACGGCCCAA